GACGAACGCUGGCGGCGUGCCUAACACAUGCAAGUCGAACGGGACCAGGGGCAACUCUGGUUCAGUGGCGGACGGGUGCGUAACACGUGAGGAACAUGACCCUUCGGCGGGGGAGUAGCCGGCCCGAACCGGCCGGGUAACGUACCGCGUACGACCACUUGGGGACGAUCCUUGAGUGGUGGAAAGACAGCAAUGCGCCGAUGAAGUGCCUCGCGGCCUAUCAGCUAGUUGGUGAGGAACGGCUCACCAA
This 250-nucleotide ribosomal RNA is filed under the name uncultured bacterium. RNAcentral's name for it is "partial 16S ribosomal RNA". It matches the Rfam family "Bacterial small subunit ribosomal RNA", at positions 28 to 271 of the family's 1533-position model. The record is from RNAcentral.